ACACUCCUGCGGGAGGCAGCAGUGGGGAAUAUUGCACAAUGGGCGCAAGCCUGAUGCAGCCAUGCCGCGUGUAUGAAGAAGGCCUUCGGGUUGUAAAGUACUUUCAGCGGGGAGGAAGGCGAUAAGGUUAAUAACCUUGUCGAUUGACGUUACCCGCAGAAGAAGCACCGGCUAACUCCGUGCCAGCAGCCGCGGUAAUACGGAGGGUGCAAGCGUUAAUCGGAAUUACUGGGCGUAAAGCGCACGCAGGCGGUCUGUCAAGUCGGAUGUGAAAUCCCCGGGCUCAACCUGGGAACUGCAUUCGAAACUGGCAGGCUAGAGUCUUGUAGAGGGGGGUAGAAUUCCAGGUGUAGCGGUGAAAUGCGUAGAGAUCUGGAGGAAUACCGGUGGCGAAGGCGGCCCCCUGGACAAAGACUGACGCUCAGGUGCGAAAGCGUGGGGAGCAAACAGGAUUAGAUACCCGUGUAGUCCCAU
Molecule: ribosomal RNA, 474 nt
Filed under: uncultured organism
Description: partial 16S ribosomal RNA
Rfam family: Bacterial small subunit ribosomal RNA
Source: RNAcentral